Molecule: ribosomal RNA, 318 nt
Filed under: uncultured Bulleidia sp.
Lineage: Bacteria; Bacillati; Bacillota; Erysipelotrichia; Erysipelotrichales; Erysipelotrichaceae
Description: bacterial SSU rRNA
Rfam family: Bacterial small subunit ribosomal RNA
Source: RNAcentral
GAUGAACGCUGGCGGCGUGCCUAAUACAUGCAAGUCGAUCGAGGAAACAACUAGCUUGCUAGGUGUGGAAAAGAGGCGAACGGGUGAGUAAUACAUAAGCAACCUACCCACGAAGACUGGGAUAAUCUCUGGAAACGGGGACUAAGACCGGAUAGGUAAUCGGACCGCAUGAUCUGAUUAUUAAAGGUUCAAAACACUGGUGGAUGGGCUUAUGGCGCAUUAGCUUGUUGGUGAGGUAAUGGCCCACCAAGGCGAUGAUGCGUAGCCGGCCUGAGAGGGUGAACGGCCACAUUGGGACUGAGACACGGCCCAGACUCC